CACUGCUCAUGAAACUAGUAAAUAUCCUCCCUCUUGUAAUUUUCUAUUAAAAAUUUUAUCUUUCUCUGGUUCCAGCAAAGGCUUUACAAUGAUUUGCUCAAGACUUAGUUUUGACUCUCAGAGGCGUUUAACCCAUGGUAAGAGGAAUGCACAGAUAGAAAGCCUGUAAGAGUGGACUCCAAAUGCAAGGCUACGUCAAUACAGGCAUCACAUGUGAGUUCCAAUCUCCGGAACUUCCAGAGCAAAUGGGCUUGCCUCUCUGGGCAGUUGAAAUAACACUUGAGCCUCGCAACUGGAUGGUAGCCCUUCCCAACAUGGAGAGUCAGGGUAAUUAGCAUCACAUCUGAAGCCUCCUCUUCUUUCAGGAAAAAGAAAAGCGAGGCUGUUUGUUUGGCUGUGGGAAAGCCAAACACUCUGCUCAAAGACAAGCUUUCAGUCAAAUUGGAAGUUGAUGCAGGCUCCACAUGGUGGCAAGAUGGCAGCCAAGAAGCACCCCACCCCAUUCUCCUAUGUUCCAGUCCAAAAUUAAAGUGAAAGUCCCGACCCUGAUACUCAUUAGUCUGAAGAUGGUCAAAUGCCCAUCCGUGAACUUAUUA
Molecule: long non-coding RNA, 596 nt
Organism: Hipposideros armiger (great roundleaf bat)
Lineage: Eukaryota; Metazoa; Chordata; Mammalia; Chiroptera; Hipposideridae
Exons: 4
Source: RefSeq, a predicted model, not a curated record